GGAGAAGUACCCAAGCUGGCUGAAGGGGCUCCCCUGGAAAGGGAGUAGGUCGUUAAUAGCGGCGCGAGGGUUCAAAUCCCUCCUUCUCCGCUA
This 93-nucleotide transfer RNA is filed under the name Lachnospiraceae bacterium. RNAcentral describes it as "tRNA-Ser". It matches the Rfam family "tRNA". From Rfam's summary of the family: Transfer RNA (tRNA) molecules are approximately 80 nucleotides in length. Their secondary structure includes four short double-helical elements and three loops (D, anti-codon, and T loops). Further hydrogen bonds mediate the characteristic L-shaped molecular structure. tRNAs have two regions of fundamental functional importance: the anti-codon, which is responsible for specific mRNA codon recognition, and the 3' end, to which the tRNAs corresponding amino acid is attached (by aminoacyl-tRNA synthetases). tRNAs cope with the degeneracy of the genetic code in two manners: having more than one tRNA (with a specific anti-codon) for a particular amino acid; and 'wobble' base-pairing, i.e. permitting non-standard base-pairing at the 3rd anti-codon position. Lineage: Bacteria; Bacillati; Bacillota; Clostridia; Lachnospirales; Lachnospiraceae. The record is from RNAcentral.